GGGGGUUCAUUAGAAGUAACGAGUUGACACAAGGUAAAUCUUAAUGUUGAGGCGCCUUUCUCUACCAGCCCGGGGAGGAGCCCUCAUUAACUGUCGCUAACAACCCGUGUAAAUACACUGAUUGGACAGCUCCGAUACAAGCUUCAAGCCCUGCCAGGAAGUCCCCCUAAUGAGACCACACAAUCAAAAACAAUAAAAGGAGGGAGAGAGGGAGAGGAAAGGACAGGUUUUAAAGUUUUCUCCGGGCUCUGCUAUCAAAAAUUGGCGCCAAAAUUGAGGUUCAUUGCAAGAACACUUAAG
This is a non-coding RNA of Oryzias latipes (Japanese medaka), 300 nucleotides long. The record is from Rfam. Lineage: Eukaryota; Metazoa; Chordata; Actinopteri; Beloniformes; Adrianichthyidae.